Molecule: ribosomal RNA, 206 nt
Filed under: uncultured bacterium
Lineage: Bacteria
Description: partial 16S ribosomal RNA
Rfam family: Bacterial small subunit ribosomal RNA
Source: RNAcentral
CAGAUUGCAGGCUGCAACCCGCCUGCAUGAAGUCGGAAUUGCUAGUAAUCGCGGAUCAGCAUGCCGCGGUGAAUACGUUCCCGGGCCUUGUACACACCGCCCGUCACACCAUGGGAGCCGGUAAUACCCGAAGUCAGUAGUCCAAUCUCGUGAGGACGCUGCCGAAGGUAGGAUUGGCGACUGGGGUGAAGUCGUAACAAGGUAUC